UAGGGAAUAUUGGACAAUGGGUGAGAGCCUGAUCCAGCCAUGCCGCGUGCAGGAAGAAGGCGUUAUGCGUUGUAAACUGCUUUUUGCCAGGGGAUAAAAAGACCGUGCGCGGUUAAUUGAAGGUACCUGGUGAAUAAGCCACGGCUAACUACGUGCCAGCAGCCGCGGUAAUACGUAGGUGGCAAGCGUUGUCUGGAUUUAUUGGGUUUAAAGGGUGCGUAGGUGGCCCUGUAAGUCAGUGGUGAAAUAUCUCAGCUUAACUGAGAGGGUGCCAUUGAUACUGCAGGGCUUGAGUACAGAUGAGGUAGGCGGAAUUGACGGUGUAGCGGUGAAAUGCAUAGAUAUCGUCAAGAACACCGAUAGCGAAGGCAGCUUACCAAGCUGUAACUGACACUGAGGCACGAAAGCGUGGGGAGCAAACAGGAUUAGAUACCCCCGUAGUCCCUGAGCGGGCUGGCAAGGCGCAU
Molecule: ribosomal RNA, 467 nt
Filed under: uncultured bacterium
Lineage: Bacteria
Description: bacterial SSU rRNA
Rfam family: Bacterial small subunit ribosomal RNA
Source: RNAcentral